UUCAAUGUCAGCUUUCUUCCUUAUCCUCUUUGCUUCAACACAACUUUCCAAAUCUUUUCUUCAGAGUUUGCAUUUUCAUCUUGCAAUUCUCUCUACCGCUUAAUCGAAUUGUAGAAUUAGAACAAAACUCUUUCCUUUAUCUUUUGAUUUUUUUUCUUUUUCUCGUUGAGUACGAUGCAUAUCUCCACCAGUAAUAUUCUCUAUCAACUUCAUCUUCCUCUGGUUAAUGGAACUUCAAAUACUUCGUCUUCUCGUUACUGGAAGGAUUCAAUAGUCUUGAACUCUCGCCGAAGAUGCUCUCAAAUGGCUACUGUUACCGCCAUUGUUGAUGAACUUCACAAAUUAGAGAGUGAAAGAGAGAAACCGAGGUUUCGGUGGGUCGAGGUUGGAUAUAAUAUUACCGAAACGCAGAAGCAGGCUAUAUCUCAGCUUCCUCCUAAGAUGACUAAAAAAUGUAAGGCUGUGAUGAAGCAAAUUAUAUGUUUUUCACCUCAGAAGGGUGAGUUAUCAGACAUGUUGGCGGCUUGGGUGAGGAUUAUGAAGCCUGAAAGAGCCGACUGGCUUUCAGUUCUUAAGCAUUUGAGGAUUUUGAAUCAUCCUCUCUAUAUCCAGGUGGCAGAAGCUGCUCUUGUAGAGAUAACAUUUGAAGCCAAUACUCGAGACUACACAAAGAUUAUUCAUCAUUAUGGGAAGCAAAACCAACUCGAGGAUGCUGAAAAAGUUCUCUUAACCAUGAGAGAAAGGGGUUUUGCUUGUGAUCAGAUAACAUUAACCACAAUGAUCCACAUAUAUAGCAAGGCUGACAAACUUAAACUAGCCAAACAAACUUUCGAAGAGCUCAAACUACUCGAGCAAUCGUUGGAUAAAAGAUCAUAUGGUGCAAUGAUUAUGGCAUAUGUCAGGGCUGGGUUGCCCGAGGAAGGAGAAAAAAUUCUGAAAGAAAUGGAUGCAAAAGAUAUUUAUGCAGGAAGCGAAGUUUACAAGGCUUUGUUAAGAGCAUACUCCAUGGCAGGCGAUGCUGAAGGAGCCCAAAGAGUAUUCGAUGCAAUUCAAUUGGCUGCUAUUCCUCCUGAUGAAAAGCUAUGCGGUCUUUUGAUGAAUGCCUAUCUGAUGGCCGGUCAAAGCCGAAAGGCACAAAUUGCUUUUGACAACAUGAGGAGGGCAGGCAUUGAACCUAGUGACAAAUGCAUAGCUUUGGCAUUAAGUGCAUAUGAAAAGGAAAACAGGUUAAAUGCAGCGUUGGAACUUCUAAUAGAUUUGGAGAAGGAUAACGUUAUGGUUGGGAAGGAAGCUUCACAAAUAUUAGCAGCUUGGCUUAAACGAUUAGGGGUGGUGGAAGAGAUUGAAAUUGUGUUGAGAGAAUACACUGCAAAAGAAGUGAGCCGCUAAGCAGGAGAAACCAUGAGAUUAGCAGUCCAAUCGGCCAUUAAGAUCGUUUAGGGACGUUUGGAAAUAGCGAGGCACCAAUGCGUUGCAUCGAAGACAGUUGUUUUUGGACAACUUGUUGAUCAAUGCUGACCAUGGAUGGGAAAUUGUUGCUUCCAAUUUGGUACGACUCCAAUGGAGACUGCAAUUUUUCCUGUGAAGCUUGCUCGACAGGAUCAAGAAGUAGAGAAAGAUCUGAUUCAGCCGGAAAUGAAGGGCAAUCUGAUGGAAGGCUUACAAUUGAGGAUAGAGUUGGCUUCUUGACUAGAGCUGGUGGUUGUGCCUGAAGAUGGGGUGCGGGUCUUGGAAGCUCAGAUGUUGCUAGGUACCCUUGCAAAUAUGAGAUCUCUAUUUGCAACCUUGCAGCCUAAAAAAAUUUUUCAUCUUUUCUGAAGAAGCAUUUGGAUUUUCAUAAGCUUGAACUUUUAGCAACCAAAAAUCAGAAGUCAAAUGUUUGUGGAAUUAUUUGUUUUUACCUGUUGUUGAAGGGCAAAAAUAUGAGCAACACAGCCGAGAACUGGCUCUCUGACUCGAGCUUGUGCCUCGUAACAUAUAGUUAUAGCUGCGUCAAGCCGUUUAUGUUCAGGAAUAUGUAGAAGCAUCUUCGACACAUUGCUUGCACCAAACACUUUGUGUACGGCUGCAAAAUGAGUUGUACCUUGUUCUGAGUCAAAGUAGGGUGCAAAUAUACACUCUGGCGUACACUUCCUCCGCAGAAACUUGCACGCCCCACACGGUCCACCACUGCCGUUGCUGCCACCACCCUUGCCUUUUGUGCAACUUCCACUGCUCCGCCUCGAGCUCAUCUCAACCUUUGCUUGCUUGAGUUCUUUCAGGAAAACUUAAGCAAAGAUUACUGAAAGACAAAACAAAUAUAUACACACAUACAUACAUAUAUAUAUGUGUGUGUGUGUGUGUGGAGCUGACUUUGAGGUUUGUGGAUCACAAGGUAUGUAAUUCUUCUUUUCCUUCCAUUUACCUUUAUCUCUCUCUCUCUCUCUCUCUCUCUCUCUCUCUCUCUCUCUUAGUUUGAUGGGAUUUGCAAAUUAGAAGGAAAUGUAGGUUUUGGAAGAUUGAAACAUAGUUUUAUUAUUGUAAUAAUAAUAAUUAUUAAUAUUAUUUUGGAAUAGCAUAGGUCUCUUUUUGUAGUAAUAGUAUGAAAUUCCGCCAAACUGCUUGUGUUUUUAAAGCUGCGUGGAGUGAGGGGUACGAGGACCUCGAAUAAUGUUUUCUUUUUCUUAAAAGCUUAUCAUCGAUAAUUUUGUAAAUUGAGAAAAUAUAGAAAAUGUUAGCCCCUACUUCUAAAUUAAAUUUGUGUCGACAACGAGGUGGGUUAUAGGCAUCAUAGGAUAGGUGUCUUUGGCAAUAAUUGUAUUGUUUAUUAUUAAUACUGGAAUGUAUGUAAAUUAUAAAAAAUAUAAUGUUUAACAAAAUAUUUACGCUUUAUACAAAA
Cucumis melo (muskmelon) is the source of this 2878-nucleotide RNA transcript. It is a transcript of the gene named pentatricopeptide repeat-containing protein At1g01970, with no coding region annotated. Lineage: Eukaryota; Viridiplantae; Streptophyta; Magnoliopsida; Cucurbitales; Cucurbitaceae. The transcript has 4 exons. The record is from RefSeq and is a predicted model, not a curated record.